RNAcentral lists this ribosomal RNA (275 nucleotides) under uncultured Opitutus sp. RNAcentral's name for it is "partial 16S ribosomal RNA". It matches the Rfam family "Bacterial small subunit ribosomal RNA", at positions 338 to 606 of the family's 1533-position model. Lineage: Bacteria; Pseudomonadati; Verrucomicrobiota; Opitutia; Opitutales; Opitutaceae. The record is from RNAcentral.
CCUACGGGUGGCUGCAGUUUCGAAUCAUUCACAAUGGGCGAAAGCCUGAUGGUGCGACGCCGCGUGAGGGAUGAAGGUCUUCGGAUUGUAAACCUCUGUCACCGGGGAAGAAACGCUUUGAGUUAAUAGUUCAAAGCCUGACUUAACCCGGAGAGGAAGCAGUGGCUAACUCUGUGCCAGCAGCCGCGGUAAUACAGAGACUGCAAGCGUUAUUCGGAUUCACUGGGCGUAAAGGGUGCGCAGGCGGCCAAGUGUGUGAGGCGUGAAAGCCCGGG